GAGAACAUCACAUCUACAGGAACACAGAGCCCCUCCGUGUGAGCUACUGUUCCUGGGAAAGCUGGUCAUACCAAGGACAGCCCUUUGGCAAGCAUGCAGCCUUUGUUCCUCUGCCUACUUAAGCAAGCUUCUUUUGGGGGGGCGGUUGCGGGUGCACACCUCCAUCCAGUCGGCCGCCACUGGACACGCUCCCGAAUUGGUCCAUGUGAUGGCGGGAGCUGGCAAUUCUGAAAUCCACAAGGCAAGCAGCGGGCUGGAAACUCAGAAGAAAGAAGAUGGAGCCUUCUUCAGCCCAUGUUUCUAUGUGAGAAUAAUAUGGAACAGAUCCCCCCUAUAUCCCACUCCUGGCCAAUCCAAGAUGGACAUGAAGUCUCAAGGAAGAAGAGUUGUUUGAAGAGUCCCUAAGACAACCUCCAAAGUAUAGUGUCUCUUGCAAAGAAGAAACUCAAAAUUAUUAGUUUUCUUUCUCUUCACUCCUCUACCUCCCUUCGCUUCCCAUCUAGCAGCUCCUCACUGCUUGCUCUUAAGUUUCCUGCCUCUGUAUUCCCAGGCUGAUGUGGAGAGAUUGCAACAAGCACGGCUUGACAAGUGGUACAUAGGUCUGCACCUGGGAUCUGAACUAGUGAACCCCAGGCCGCUGAAGUGGAACAUGUGAACUCAACCGCUGCACCACCGGGCUGGCCCCUAAGGUGCAGAAGACAGCCAAGCAAGUGGAGAUGCCCCUGUAAGCACACGCAGCCGCAAGAUCUUCUGAAGCAUCCAUCACAAGUUCAAGAAAGCACAAGAGAAGUGAAUCAGAAUACCAGAUGGAAUUAGCUGGAGCAGAACCAAGAGUCCCAGGAGAACUCUGCCGAUCCAAGUAAUGCACUGUGUAUGGAGAGCCCUGGAGACCCUACAACUAUCUGCUGCAUCUCCAGAGGAGCCUGUGGAGACAUGGCCAACCACGUAGAGACCAAAUGUUACACCAAUAGGCUACACAGAUUGUAAUUAUUAAAAUAAAAUCAAUAAGAUAUGAAAAGAUGUGUGUAUUGCUGUGAGUUCUCU
RNAcentral lists this long non-coding RNA (1044 nucleotides) under Equus caballus (horse). RNAcentral describes it as "lncRNA (ENSECAG00000045316.1)". Lineage: Eukaryota; Metazoa; Chordata; Mammalia; Perissodactyla; Equidae. The record is from RNAcentral.